UUUUUUUUUUUUUUUUUUUUUUUUUUUUUUUU
Molecule: non-coding RNA, 32 nt
Filed under: Prorocentrum micans
Lineage: Eukaryota; Dinophyceae; Prorocentrales; Prorocentraceae
Also listed under: 4 other names
Source: RNAcentral